GACUGUAAUGCACGAGACGAGUUGGUGGUACCCUUGCCAAUACAUUUAAUUAGUUAGACCUUAUUGACAAUAUGCAUUCUUCAUUAAUAUAAAUCCAAUAAGUUUAAAAACACACAUUUGUGUGUAACAAUUGAUUUAAAAAUUGAGGCCAAUGCUUUAUUAAUUUAUCAUGAACAGUAACAAUGCGAAGAGGAGAAGCGGUUAUGAAAGUGAAAGACAAACACGUAAUACUCAAAAAAUGUCCCCAAAGAUUUUUCAUGAUUUAUCUCCAUGCUGAAGAAUUUUUGAUCUUCAGGCCUUCAGUGAAACAUUGAUUGAAAUCAACACUGAAAGAAGGAAAAAAAUGGAAUUGAAGAGACUUAAAGAGGCACUAAAACAAAAUACUGAAAAACCAAAUGGCAUACAUGCAUAUGCUGCAAAAUUCCCAAUGAGAUUAGAACAUCUAAGGCAUGCAACUACUGAAGAGGAAAAAAAUAUAUUUCUUUGUGACUUCCACUGAGAAAAAUCAUGGACAGCGUGGGUCAAUAAGAAAGAUCAUGGAGUGUAUGAUUCUCAUCAAAAAGUGCUCUCUAUCCUACGUAAUAUUGCAUUAGCAUCAACUCCAGAAGAGCAUAAAUUGGCUUUAAAUGCACUAAAUCCCAAAUUUGGAAGAAUAAUGAUUCUCUAAUACAAUGGUUCUCUUGUAAAUGGAUACCUGAAAUAAAGAAAUGGGCACAUGUUUAUAGAACUAAAGUUUUAAGUUGGAAUCCAUACAAAUAAUGCACUUGAACGUCAGAAUGAAGUUCUAAAACUUUACCUACCUUGAAGCCUAUACAAAUUGCACUCUAGGGGAGAUGAUUACAGUCCUCCAUUCAAUGUUUGUUCCCAAAUUCCUACAAAAAGUAUGUGCAACUGAAUUUACUGAGUUCGGAGCUAUAUCGAAGAUAUACAUAUGGUGUUCCUGUUUUUUCAAAAAAAUAUCCACGUGAAUUUGUAGCACAUAUCAUAAACAGAUUGUCAAUUAACCUUAGUGUUGAAGAUGUUACAAUUAUAAAUGGUACAUCUGGAAUAUUCAGUAUUAAAAGUGAAUUUAAAAAAGAGAAAAAGUAUAUGGUAGACUUUUCACCAUCUGUACCAUCAUGCAGUUGUGAAGACUGGGGAUAGGAAAAGCUUAUAUCAAAAGCUUUAGAGGAGCCAGGUAAACAUAUUACUAAAGGUUGUAUUUCUACAACGUUUAGCAAUUAUAAUUUAACAGACCUCCCACCACGUAAAAGAACAAAAAGAACAAUAUCAAUUUAACAGAAAUAUCACCAUGUAAAAGACUUGUAGACACAGUAUAUUUAAUAAAAGACAAGGCAUAUCUUGUAGAGUUGGAAACUGACAUCAGUAAUCUUUUAGAAAUGGCGUUGAAUAAAAUACCAGCAGACUAUGGCCUCCCUUUAGUUGAGUCUCCACAGAAGGAGAAAUCUCUUACAGAUGUUCUGCCACUGCCUAAAAGGCUUAAUGGAAAACCUAAACAGCCAGGGUCACAAAGUUAUGGGCUGAAAGCUGAGAAUUUAAAAUUAGAUGUUUGGCAAAAUGUUGAUAACCCACCUGUUUUAAGAUUGGAAGAGAAUGAAAAUCUAGAAAAUGUAUCCAUAGAUUCAGACAUAUGGGUAUAUAUAUAUGUAAUUACGCACUUAAGUUAAAACAUAAGGAGACCAUUUUACAAAAUCAAUGGCUGGAUGAUAACAAUGUUAAUGCUUUCCAAAAGUAAAUUGCUAUAAACUUCCCAUCAAUCUCAGGGCUGUGUGAUACUGUAAUUCUAGCACAUGAUUCUGUCUCCAACACUAACACUAAUCCUGUAAUAUAGAUUCAUCAUUUAGGCACUCAUUGGGUUGUAUGCUAUACAGCAGGGGAAUCUGUUAAUAUUGUUGGCUCCUUCAGAACAUCCAGAAUUCAAGAAACACUUAAACAGCUAUUAAAAUUGCAUUAAUCUUUUUGUAUUGGAGAAUUUAGUGUUCUUGAAGUGGAUUUAAUUUGUUACCAGAUUCAAGAGGGUAACAAUGACUGGGGUUCCUUUUCCAUCGCAAACACUGUAGCAUUAGCUUACGACCAUGAUUUAAGAAACAUACAUUUCUCUCAAAAUCAAAUGCGAGUUCAUAUUGUGUUGGACUUAAAAAGGACCAUAAGUGUGUUACAUCAAGAGUUAGGUUCUUUUGCCCAGGUUGCAAAAAAUAAAUUUAAAAAUAAAUUCUGAUUCUUAUUUUGAUUUUCAUGUUAUGCUGUGUUUCAAAUAUUUUUAUUGGUGUUAGUGAUAUAAUGUGGCUUUGUUUACAUAUAGCUGUUACUAUCAUUAAUCCAUAAAUAAAUUCAUAUAAUCAUA
This is a long non-coding RNA of Bombina bombina (fire-bellied toad), 2344 nucleotides long. RefSeq lists it as uncharacterized. NCBI's taxonomy places the organism in Eukaryota, Metazoa, Chordata, Amphibia, Anura, Bombinatoridae. The record is from RefSeq and is a predicted model, not a curated record. The transcript has 6 exons.